GAUGAAGAACGUAGCGAAAUGCGAUACUUGGUGUGAAUUGCAGAACCCCGUGAACCAUCGAGUCUUUGAACGCAAGUUGCGCCCGAAGCCAUUAGGCCGAGGGCACGCCUGCCUGGGCGUCACACGUCGUUGCCCCCCCAUCUACUCCUUCGGGAUUGCGGGGGGCGGAUGAUGGCCUCCCGUGCGCCUCGUCGCGCGGUUGGCAUAAAUGCCAAGUCCUCGGCGACGCACGCCACGACAAUCGGUGGUUGCGAAACCUCGGUUGCCCGUCGUGUGCGGUCGUCGCGCAUCGAGGGCUCGAAAAAAUUGCCGGGCUCCGGCUCGGCUUUCAACGCGACCCCAGGUCAGGCGGGGUUACCCGCUGAAUUUAAGCAUAUCAUAAGCGGAGGA
RNAcentral lists this unclassified non-coding RNA (390 nucleotides) under soil metagenome. RNAcentral describes it as "partial contains 5.8S ribosomal RNA, internal transcribed spacer 2, and large subunit ribosomal RNA". The stretch from base 1 to 122 matches the Rfam family "5.8S ribosomal RNA", at positions 35 to 154 of the family's 154-position model. The record is from RNAcentral.